CGGAGCAUCAAGAAACCACCUGCACUUAAAAAGAAUGGCAAGUCGCCCCUUCAAGGGAGCUCAGAAGCGAGAAAUAUUUCAUCACCGAAGCCCAAACCGCAGAUCUGCUUUCAUUUCCGCCUCUGUCGGGAUGGGGGGGAGGGAGCGAACCUUUGGGGCAGCUCUUUCACAUCCUGUUUUGUUUUGUUUAAAAGCCCGACAGAACAGAAAAAAACACCCCCGGCGAAGCAGGUGAAACGCGUCCGGCGAUACAAUUCUGAGGGAUGCUGAAGAUCUUAACACAGGAUGUCUGCGGGUCUUAAUGUGCUGAGAGAGCUGAACUGUGAUUUUUCUUCAGGAGAUCUAGAGAAGAGAAGGUUCUGGAUGGAGUAGCUGUAGAGGAAUCAUUGUGCU
Long non-coding RNA from Ahaetulla prasina, 393 nucleotides. RefSeq lists it as uncharacterized. The record is from RefSeq and is a predicted model, not a curated record. The transcript is spliced from 3 exons. Lineage: Eukaryota; Metazoa; Chordata; Lepidosauria; Squamata; Colubridae.